Molecule: ribosomal RNA, 496 nt
Filed under: uncultured bacterium
Lineage: Bacteria
Description: partial 16S ribosomal RNA
Rfam family: Bacterial small subunit ribosomal RNA
Source: RNAcentral
GAUGAACGCUGGCGGCGUGCCUAAUACAUGCAAGUCGAGCGAACAGACGAGGAGCUUGCUCCUCUGACGUUAGCGGCGGACGGGUGAGUAACACGUGGAUAACCUACCUAUAAGACUGGGAUAACUUCGGGAAACCGGAGCUAAUACCGGAUAAUAUAUUGAACCGCAUGGUUCAAUAGUGAAAGACGGUUUUGCUGUCACUUAUAGAUGGAUCCGCGCCGCAUUAGCUAGUUGGUAAGGUAACGGCUUACCAAGGCAACGAUGCGUAGCCGACCUGAGAGGGUGAUCGGCCACACUGGAACUGAGACACGGUCCAGACUCCUACGGAAGGCAGCAGUAGGAAUCUUCCGCAAUGGGCGAAAGCCUGACGGAGCAACGCCGCGUGAGUGAUGAAGGUCUUCGGAUCGUAAAACUCUGUUAUUAGGGAAGAACAAAUGUGUAAGUAACUAUGCACGUCUUGACGGUACCUAAUCAGAAAGCCACGGCUAACUACGUG